RNAcentral lists this transfer RNA (106 nucleotides) under Pestalotiopsis fici W106-1. RNAcentral's name for it is "tRNA-Und (NNN) (tRNA-Und-NNN-5-1)". The record is from RNAcentral. Lineage: Eukaryota; Fungi; Ascomycota; Sordariomycetes; Amphisphaeriales; Sporocadaceae.
CCCAGCUUGGUGUAGUGGCAGCACAUCUGUAGUCACCAGGGAAGCCUAUUGCGCGGAACUGGCCCUUAGGGGGGAGAAGAGCCGGGUUCGAAUCCUGGAGUUGGGA